This 464-nucleotide ribosomal RNA is filed under the name uncultured Pseudomonas sp. RNAcentral describes it as "bacterial SSU rRNA". It matches the Rfam family "Bacterial small subunit ribosomal RNA", at positions 54 to 513 of the family's 1533-position model. Lineage: Bacteria; Pseudomonadati; Pseudomonadota; Gammaproteobacteria; Pseudomonadales; Pseudomonadaceae. The record is from RNAcentral.
CAUGCAAGUCGAGCGGACGACGGGAGCUUGCUCCUUGAUUCAGCGGCGGACGGGUGAGUAAUGCCUAGGAAUCUGCCUGGUAGUGGGGGACAACGUUUCGAAAGGAACGCUAAUACCGCAUACGUCCUACGGGAGAAAGCAGGGGACCUUCGGGCCUUGCGCUAUCAGAUGAGCCUAGGUCGGAUUAGCUAGUUGGUGGGGUAAUGGCUCACCAAGGCGACGAUCCGUAACUGGUCUGAGAGGAUGAUCAGUCACACUGGAACUGAGACACGGUCCAGACUCCUACGGGAGGCAGCAGUGGGGAAUAUUGGACAAUGGGCGAAAGCCUGAUCCAGCCAUGCCGCGUGUGUGAAGAAGGUCUUCGGAUUGUAAAGCACUUUAAGUUGGGAGGAAGGGCAGUAAGUUAAUACCUUGCUGUUUUGACGUUACCGACAGAAUUAGCACCGGCUAACUCUGUGCCAGCA